AACGAACGCUGGCGGCGUGCCUAACACAUGCAAGUCGUGCGAGAAAGUUCCUUCGGGAGCGAGUAAAGCGGCGCACGGGUGAGUAACACGUAGGUAACCUGCCCCCCAGUCUGGAACAACUAGAGGAAACUACUAGCUAAUGCCGGAUGAGACCACGAUCCCUUCGGGGGUUGGCGGCCAAAGAUGGCCUCUACUUGUAAGCUAUCGCUGAGGGAUGGGCCUGCGGGCCAUUAGCUUGUUGGUGAGGUAACGGCUCACCAAGGCUGUGAUGGCUAGCUGGUCUGAGAGGAUGACCAGCCACACUGGGACUGAGACACGGCCCAGACUCCUACGGGAGGCAGCAGUGGGGAAUAUUGCGCAAUGGGCGAAAGCCUGACGCAGCGACGCCGCGUGGGUGAUGAA
This 402-nucleotide ribosomal RNA is filed under the name uncultured bacterium. Its description in RNAcentral is "bacterial SSU rRNA". It matches the Rfam family "Bacterial small subunit ribosomal RNA", at positions 29 to 412 of the family's 1533-position model. The record is from RNAcentral.